This 77-nucleotide transfer RNA is filed under the name Rhodospirillaceae bacterium. RNAcentral's name for it is "tRNA-Pro". It matches the Rfam family "tRNA". From Rfam's summary of the family: Transfer RNA (tRNA) molecules are approximately 80 nucleotides in length. Their secondary structure includes four short double-helical elements and three loops (D, anti-codon, and T loops). RNAcentral also lists the same sequence under 1 other name. The record is from RNAcentral. Lineage: Bacteria; Pseudomonadati; Pseudomonadota; Alphaproteobacteria; Rhodospirillales; Rhodospirillaceae.
CGGGACGUGGCGCAGUCUGGUAGCGCACCUCGUUCGGGACGAGGGGGUCGGUGGUUCGAAUCCACUCGUCCCGACCA